This 34-nucleotide transfer RNA is filed under the name Cnemidophorus vanzoi. RNAcentral describes it as "partial tRNA-Leu". Lineage: Eukaryota; Metazoa; Chordata; Lepidosauria; Squamata; Teiidae. The record is from RNAcentral.
CUUUUAAAGGAAAAAAGUUAUCCAUUGGUCUUAG